This is a non-coding RNA of Antechinus flavipes (yellow-footed antechinus), 1677 nucleotides long. The record is from the annotation of a RefSeq genome assembly. Lineage: Eukaryota; Metazoa; Chordata; Mammalia; Dasyuromorphia; Dasyuridae.
AAAGCUUCCUCCCUCCUUCCUGCCCCUCAGGGCUCUGGCUGCUCUCUGCUCAGUCUCUGAAGGCCAGGAUGAGCUCCCCAUGGCAGCUGCUCUGGCUCCUGGUGCUCUGGGCUCAGGAUUCCCGAGGAGCCAUUGUGCUGACCCAGUCUCCAGCCUCCUUGUCUGCAUCUCCAGGAGAGACAGUCACCAUCAGCUGCAAGGCCAGUCAGAGUGUGUAUAGCAAUUUGCACUGGUACCAGCAGAAACCUGGCCAAGCCCCCAGACUCCUCAUCUCCUAUGCUAACAGCCUGGCAUCCGGGGUCCCUGCCCGGUUCAGUGGCAGUGGGUCUAGGAGUGAUUAUACCCUCACCAUCAGCAGCCUGGAGCCUGAGGACGCUGCACAUUAUUACUGUCAGCAGAGUGAUAGCUCCCCUCUCCCACAGUGCUUCAGGCCCGAACAAAAACCUCCCCAGUGCAUCCAGGGGACUCAGCUCAGAGCAGCAGGUGCCUCCUCGGGGUCCCCAGGGCAGAGCAGCCCCUGCUCUCUGGGCAGGCUCUCACCUCCCAGGGCUUCCUCUUUCUGGUCCCCCCUGGGUCCCUCCUUUCUAACUUGUGAUCACAAGCCCUGUCUGCUCAGCCAAGGCAGAGGGGAGGCAGCACAGCCCCUGGGAAACCGAGAGAAAGUCCCUAAGAGAAAUGCUGACAUUUCAGGUCCCCUUGAUAUCUUUGCCCCAAAGUAAUGAGUUUCUUUCUCUGGUUGGGAGCCCACGUUCCCGUUGAGCAGGUUUUGCCCCCAUUCUCUGUAGCAAUGACAGGUACAUCUUGCUUGUUCUUCAGCCACGUCUGAGUCUCUGUGACUCUACUCAGAAUUUUCUUGUCACAGACACUGGAGCUUUGCCAUUUCCUCCUCCAGCUUAUUUCAGACAAACAAAUGGAGGCAAACAGGAGUGAGUGACUUGUUCAGAGCCACAUGGAUAGUAAGUGUCCAAGGUUAGAUUAAACUCAGAAACGCGAGUCUUGGGGAUUCCAGGCCCAGCGCUCCAUCCUCUCACUGCCCCGUGGGGCUGCCAUGAUAGAGACCAGAUUGCUUUUUCUCCAGCCCAGGACACACGGUCUCCCAGGCUGGUUCCUUCUGCCCUGGGCCUGGAGACGAGAAAAUGGGAGGGUCCCAAUAUCACCCACUUCCCUCCAGUAGGUGUUUCAUCAUCUCUUGGGUCUGGAGGACCAGGCCCUCAUUGACUCUCUCAGGCUCAUGUGUGGGGAUUGGAGUGUAUUUCCCAUCAGGCCUUGGGAGAGUUCCCAGGAGAGCAGGGGGCAGGGCUGGGCCCCCUCACUGCCAUCUCUGCUGGGGUCUCUGCCUGGAUUCUCUGCCCCAAGGGAUCGCCUCAUUGUAUGAAGGCCCAAGGCCUGUCCACUGCCUUCAGGACCAAGGGCCCACACACGGUUUCACUGCCACUUGAGACUUUCUGGUCAGCCUUCCUCACUGGAAAGAAGAGGGGAUCAGCUCAGCUCUGAGACUCAGGUCAUUGAUGGCUUCAGUCCUCACAAUGUUCCCAGAUUCUCUCCUUUAGCCUCAUUAUCCCUAUCCCAGGAGUGAGCUUGCAAGAAGCACAAACAACUGCUAACAGUGGAUUUCUUUCAUUGAAAUUUCUUAUGUGUCAGAAUAUUCUCACAUGAAAUAAAGGUGUCAGAGUCGCA